AGGAACAGAUAGGGCUAGUGAUUGAUUGGGCCCUGGGAGAUGGCUGGACAAUACCAGGAGUUCUGUUCCAAGACUAUUCAGUGACCAAAACCACAAGGCUGCUUUCUUUAAUAUGUAGUUUAUUCUCCCUCCACCACAUUACUUGAAAGAACAGCAAGGAAAAAAGGAGAUUAAAGAAGCAGAGGACGACCCAGGACAUUCUAGUCUCCAUCUUGGCUCAAAAAACCCUCUACUACAAAGCCUAACAUUGUGCCAUCUGGCAAAGGAGAAAUAUUUACAGGAUUCAGCUCCAUUAUCACAGAGCAGGUCUUAAAAAUUGUCUGCAAAGCUGCACUGAAUAACAGAUAUCCUAGGAGGGGAUAUUUUUCACCUCUAUAAUGAAGAAAAGCAGGAGUGUGAUGACAGUGACGGCUGAUGAUGUAAGUUCCAAAAGUCAGAGUUGCCAGAUUCUGCCCACUUUUUGUCUGCUCAAUGAAGAAGCCACUCCCUAAUUCUAUUCAAA
This is a long non-coding RNA of Diceros bicornis minor, 502 nucleotides long. RefSeq lists it as uncharacterized. Lineage: Eukaryota; Metazoa; Chordata; Mammalia; Perissodactyla; Rhinocerotidae. The transcript is spliced from 4 exons. The record is from RefSeq and is a predicted model, not a curated record.